CAAAAAACAUUCCAAAUGAGAGGGCUCGUUUGGAACUGUAGAGGGGUAGGCAAGAAAGGAAUGGCCACCUGCCUCUCAGACAUGAUUAGUGACCAUUCUCUGGAUUUUAUUGGUUUGCAAGAAACUAUGAAGAAAAUUUUUACUCCUAAAUGCAUUAGGAGAAUUGACCCUUUUGGUCUAUUCCAUUGGGAAUGGAUUCCAUCUGUGGGGAAGUCUGGUGGCAUCUUAGGAGGAGUGAGGCAAGAUACUAUGAAAAUCAUUUCCUAUACAAAAAGGAAAUAUGUUUUGCAGUUAAACCUGCAUGAUAAGAAGAAAAAAGUUGAUUGGGGCCUGCUGGUGGUCUAUGGGGCAGCCCAUGAGGAGUUUAAAGAGGAAUUUUUAAUAGAGCUGGCUGCUAGUUGUAGUAGCAUGACUGUGCCUUAUAUUGUAGGGGGUGAUUUCAAUGUCUUGCGCCAUGGUGAUGAGAAAAAUAAAAAGAUGUAG
Molecule: ribosomal RNA, 483 nt
Filed under: Triticum aestivum (bread wheat)
Lineage: Eukaryota; Viridiplantae; Streptophyta; Magnoliopsida; Poales; Poaceae
Description: partial small subunit ribosomal RNA
Source: RNAcentral